UGGGGGGCAACCCUGAACGAGCAAUGCCGCGUGAGCGAAGAAGGUCUUCGGAUUGUAAAGCUCUGUUGCCGGGGAAAAAGGAAGGAAAGAGGAAAUGCUUUUCUUUGGAUGGUACCCGGCCAGAAAGUCACGGCUAACUACGUCGCC
RNAcentral lists this ribosomal RNA (147 nucleotides) under uncultured bacterium. RNAcentral describes it as "partial 16S ribosomal RNA". It matches the Rfam family "Bacterial small subunit ribosomal RNA", at positions 372 to 509 of the family's 1533-position model. The record is from RNAcentral.